This 379-nucleotide long non-coding RNA is filed under the name Ananas comosus (pineapple). Its description in RNAcentral is "long non-coding RNA (ACOM_LNC009163)". The record is from RNAcentral. Lineage: Eukaryota; Viridiplantae; Streptophyta; Magnoliopsida; Poales; Bromeliaceae.
CUAUAUCUUAAGUUUACCAUAUUUUUAUGAUAAAGAUAUAUAAAACUUAUCUGAACUAUAAAUUAUUUGAAUAUCAUAAGUUAAUAACGCACCUUUCACAAUUUGAUUAUACUAUCGAAUAUUUUAAUUUAUUUGAUUUGAGUUAGUCAAUAAUAGUUUGACUUCAAAAUUUAAACAAUUUUUUUUUUUAUAUUUAGCAUUAACUAUACUAACUAACUCUGUGAAGAUGCAUUCAGCUUUUCUAUGCCAGAAGUGCAUGCAGUCGACUGACUCAAAUCAAACAAAUUGAUAGAUUGUCUAGUAAAAUCAAAUUCUAAAUAGUCGAAUAGUCGAUCGGUUCAAAAUGGUCCCCAGUUCAGAUAAGUUUUCUAUGUUUUUG